This 1038-nucleotide long non-coding RNA is filed under the name Oryctolagus cuniculus (rabbit). RNAcentral's name for it is "lncRNA (ENSOCUG00000031519.1)". The record is from RNAcentral. Lineage: Eukaryota; Metazoa; Chordata; Mammalia; Lagomorpha; Leporidae.
AUGGGAGGGGGGAGCGGGGGGUGGGGGCUCGGCCCUGUGCGCUGUCCCAGGUAUUCUCCAGCCACAAGUCCACGUGGGCGAGGCGGGUUUUCUCCAAAUUCGCCUUUUCUGGAUUGGGAAGCCGGGACCUCACACCUCUGCGUAGUGCGGAGUUCAGGACCAAACCCCGGAGGAGGGGCUCCGUGCCUUCGUCGCCACGGGCCGUGGGUCCCGCCCCCGCCGCCGCCUCGCCUCCUCCCACGCCCCCUCUGCUUCCCCCCACACCUACCUUGCCUGGCGAGCAGGUGGCGGGGGCCGAGGCCGCCCUGGAGGAGGGCAGGGGCAUCCCCGCCCGGCUCCUGCCUGGCGCGGCCUUGGCGGGCCCCGGCGGCGCGCGUGACCGGGUCAGGAGAGGGCUCGGCCAGACUGGGCGCCCGAGGAGGAAGAGGGAGGCAGGACCAGGACCGUGAGAGUGGCGCGACGCGGCGCGGCGCGGCGCGGGUGGAGUUUGCGUGUGCGACAGCUACUCCCCUCACUCCCGCGGGGCUGCGAGCGCGCUCGGUCCUGGCGAGCCGCGCCGCGGGACGCCGGUGGCCCCCUGCCCGAGGGGCCGGGCCGGCGGGGAGGCGGCGCCGGGAGGGGCCGCCGAGGGUCCCCGGGGAGCCCGCUCUGGUUUCCCAGCCGCCCUCCCCGGUCCCCACCGCUGGGCUGGCGUCGGGAAGGGGGAGGGCGGGCCGGCGAGGGCCACUCAGAGUUUCCAGCGACAUUUCCAGAGUGUGGGAAACGAGGUUCUGCGCCGGCGGAGCCAGGACAGGACGCGAGUGCCGAACGCGAGCGAGCCGUGCGCCCCGGGGCCCUGGGGAGGCGCCUGGAGGACCCGAGGAAGCACCCCGCCGCCCGCCCCCGCGGGACGAGUGGGUGCCGCGUCGCCUGGGUCAGACACACGCGCGCGCGCGUGCACCUGGCGGCCGGCGGACGCUCACACACGUGCAAGCCCCGGGAGGAAAUCACCCCGAGGGAGCGCCCCCCCCCGGGCGUGCCGCGCCCCUGAGAGGAUGA